GUGGGGAAUAUUGGACAAUGGGCGAAAGCCUGAUCCAGCCAUGCCGCGUGUGUGAAGAAGGUCUUCGGAUUGUAAAGCACUUUAAGUUGGGAGGAAGGGCAGUAAGUUAAUACCUUGCUGUUUUGACGUUACCGACAGAAUAAGCACCGGCUAACUUCGUGCCAGCAGCCGCGGUAAUACGAAGGGUGCAAGCGUUAAUCGGAAUUACUGGGCGUAAAGCGCGCGUAGGUGGUUUUGUAAGUUGGAGGUUAAAUCCCCGAGCUCAACCUGGGAACUGCCUCCAAAACUGCAUGACUAGAGUACGGUAGAGGGUAGUGGAAUUUCCUGUGUAGCGGUGAAAUGCGUAGAUAUAGGAAGGAACACCAGUGGCGAAGGCGACUACCUGGACUGAUACUGACACUGAGGUGCGAAAGCGUGGGGAGCAAACAGGAUUAGAAACCCUGGUAGUCC
This 450-nucleotide ribosomal RNA is filed under the name uncultured bacterium. RNAcentral's name for it is "partial 16S ribosomal RNA". It matches the Rfam family "Bacterial small subunit ribosomal RNA", at positions 354 to 796 of the family's 1533-position model. The record is from RNAcentral.